RNAcentral lists this ribosomal RNA (253 nucleotides) under uncultured bacterium. RNAcentral's name for it is "partial 16S ribosomal RNA". It matches the Rfam family "Bacterial small subunit ribosomal RNA", at positions 524 to 776 of the family's 1533-position model. The record is from RNAcentral.
UACGUAGGGGGCAAGCGUUGUCCGGAUUUAUUGGGCGUAAAGCGCUCGCAGGAGGUUCGUCGCGUCGUGCGUGAAAGACCCCGGCUCAACUGGGGGGUGUCGUGCGAUACGGGCGGACUGGAGGCCAGUAGGGGGAUGCGGAAUUCCGGGUGUAGUGGUGGAAUGCGUAGAGAUCCGGAGGAACACCAGCGGCGAAGGCGGCAUCCUGGACUGGUCCUGACACUCAGGAGCGAAAGCGUGGGGAGCGAUCCGG